AGGGAAGUACAGAAAACAUGUAAGCACUGCUAACUCUUACACUCCGGGGCUAAACUCCCUGGCUUCCUUA
This 70-nucleotide transfer RNA is filed under the name Cyclocheilichthys heteronema. RNAcentral's name for it is "tRNA-Ser". The record is from RNAcentral. Lineage: Eukaryota; Metazoa; Chordata; Actinopteri; Cypriniformes; Cyprinidae.